UGACCAACAACUCCUAUCCCUACCUCCUCGCGGUACCGGCCGGAAACUAUGAGCAACCUUAGGGAAGAUCGGGUAACCAACCCCGGUGGGAACUUUGGUCAUAGGCUGACAGGGAAGC
Molecule: non-coding RNA, 118 nt
Organism: Aedes albopictus (Asian tiger mosquito)
Lineage: Eukaryota; Metazoa; Arthropoda; Insecta; Diptera; Culicidae
Source: Rfam